UGGGGAAUUUUGCACAAUGGGGGAAACCCUGAUGCAGCGACGCCGCGUGAUUUAGAAGGCCUUCGGGUUGUAAAAAUCUUUUUUAUGGGAUGAAAAUGACAGUAGCAUAAGAAUAAGGUCCGGCUAAAUACGUGCCAGCAGCCGCGGUAAUACGUAUGGACCGAGCGUUGUCCGGAAUCAUUGGGCGUAAAGGGUACGUAGGCGGCCCAGUAAGUUAGAAGUGAAAUAAUAUAGCUCAACUAUAUAAAGCUUUUAAAACUGCUAGGCUUGAGAGAUGGAAGGGAAAGGGGAAUUCCUAGUGUAGCGGUGAAAUGCGCAGAUAUUAGGAAGAAUACCGGUGGCGAAGGCGACUUUCUGGUCAUCAUCUGACGCUGAGGUACGAAAGCGUGGGUAGCAAACAGG
RNAcentral lists this ribosomal RNA (402 nucleotides) under Bacteroidota bacterium. Its description in RNAcentral is "Bacteroidetes bacterium partial 16S ribosomal RNA". It matches the Rfam family "Bacterial small subunit ribosomal RNA", at positions 355 to 776 of the family's 1533-position model. Lineage: Bacteria; Pseudomonadati; Bacteroidota. The record is from RNAcentral.